Molecule: long non-coding RNA, 413 nt
Filed under: Sinocyclocheilus anshuiensis
Lineage: Eukaryota; Metazoa; Chordata; Actinopteri; Cypriniformes; Cyprinidae
Description: lncRNA (ENSSANG00000029847.1)
Source: RNAcentral
ACAGGUGACACAGACACAACCUGCACGCCAAUACCAGAAAAUACUACUUUCCUAGAUGGAGUGCCACCCAAAAAGCCAAAAGUUGUACACACACGCCGCAGAAAACGCAGCAAUUCAACUGGUAAUAGAAAAGCAACAGUGUGCCCUGAAAGUCCCUCAAACAGAAGUAUGCCCACCAUUACCCCUGAGAGUAGUUUCCAUCUGAGCUCAAACCCAUUCCAGCAUGUAUUACGUAUUCCCUUCAGCCCCCCUCUUCUGCCCCCUAGUGGAGGUUCACCACUACAAAUCAUCCAGACAAUCAGCCCUUAUACGCCGCCUCUAUUCGGCACUGUGGUUCCAACAGGGCCUACAUACGUGAUUGGUGAGUCUACUGUAAAAGUAUCAUUAAACAGCUGCAUGUGCCUGCAUGCUCU